RNAcentral lists this ribosomal RNA (504 nucleotides) under uncultured bacterium. RNAcentral's name for it is "partial 16S ribosomal RNA". It matches the Rfam family "Bacterial small subunit ribosomal RNA", at positions 28 to 523 of the family's 1533-position model. The record is from RNAcentral.
GAUGAACGCUAGCGGCAGGCUUAACACAUGCAAGUCGAGGGGCAGCAUAAAUAGUAGCAAUACUAUUGGUGGCGACCGGCGGACGGGUGCGUAACGCGUAUACAACCUUCCCUAAACAGGGGGAUAAUCUGGAGAAAUUCGGUCUAAUACCCCAUAACAUCAGAGCAGGCAUCUGUUUUGGUUAAAAUUUCCGGAGGUUUAGGAUGGGUAUGCGUAGCAUUAGCUAGUUGGUGAGGCAACGGCUAACCAAGGCGACGAUGCUUAGGGGGACUGAGAGGUUAACCCCCCACACUGGUACUGAGACACGGACCAGACUCCUACGGGAGGCAGCAGUGAGGAAUAUUGGUCAAUGGGCGGAAGCCUGAACCAGCCAUGCCGCGUGCAGGAUGACGGCUCUAUGAGUUGUAAACUGCUUUUGUACGAGGGUAAAGUGGGCUACGUGUAGCCUUUUGAAAGUAUCGUACGAAUAAGGAUCGGCUAACUCCGUGCCAGCCGCCGCGGUAA